AUUUCAUUAGCUUGAGGAUCUGGGUCCACCUCCCACCCGUGUUUAUCGUACCUUGUUGCUUCGGCGGGCCCGCCUCACGGCCGCCGGGGGGCAUCCGCCCCCGGGCCCGCGCCCGCCGAAGACACACAAACGAACUCUUGUCUGAAGAUUGCAGUCUGAGUACUUGACUAAAUCAGUUAAAACUUUCAACAACGGAUCUCUUGGUUCCGGCAUCGAUGAAGAACGCAGCGAAAUGCGAUAAGUAAUGUGAAUUGCAGAAUUCAGUGAAUCAUCGAGUCUUUGAACGCACAUUGCGCCCCCUGGUAUUCCGGGGGGCAUGCCUGUCCGAGCGUCAUUGCUGCCCUCAAGCACGGCUUGUGUGUUGGGCUCUCGCCCCCCGCUUCCGGGGGGCGGGCCCGAAAGGCAGCGGCGGCACCGCGUCCGGUCCUCGAGCGUAUGGGGCUUCGUCACCCGCUCUGUAGGCCCGGCCGGCGCCCGCCGGCGAACACCAUCAAUCUUAACCAGGUUGACCUCGGAUCAGGUAGGGAUACCCGCUGAACUUAAGCAUAUCAAUAAGCGGAGGAA
This 564-nucleotide ribosomal RNA is filed under the name Penicillium oxalicum. RNAcentral describes it as "eukaryotic LSU rRNA". The stretch from base 181 to 334 matches the Rfam family "5.8S ribosomal RNA". Lineage: Eukaryota; Fungi; Ascomycota; Eurotiomycetes; Eurotiales; Aspergillaceae. The record is from RNAcentral.